Meleagris gallopavo (turkey) is the source of this 14334-nucleotide non-coding RNA. NCBI's taxonomy places the organism in Eukaryota, Metazoa, Chordata, Aves, Galliformes, Phasianidae. The record is from RefSeq and is a predicted model, not a curated record.
CAGCCAGAAAGCCUGGCCCUGGACUGCAUGGUGCCUGGUGAGGUGCUGUAAGCAGGGUCCUGGUGUGCAGGGUGAGCUCGCAGCUUCAUCUGUCAGCAGCAGGACUGGGGUGGAACAGCUUUUCCCCAACCAUUGCAGGGAGCUGGGAAGCACCAGGCUUCCUGCUUUCCCUCUGAGCAGUUACCUCCUCUUCUCCCCUGCAGGAUGAGCCUCUCCCAGUGAAGCAAUCCAACAGUGCUGGCAGCCAACAUCCCAAGACUUGUUCAAUGCUGCUUUCUUCUCCUGCUGCAGCAGGGAGGUGGAUGGAGGCUCCAGGAGCACCCGGCUCUCUGCUUAUCUCCUCCUGCCUGGAGAGGCUGGGUUGGAAAGGUUUGAAUGGGAACGUCAGCAUUGCCUUUGGAGCAGGGACACACUGCACACAGGCACCGCCGCGUGCGAGGGCUGUGAGAGCUUAACUGCUGCAGCAGAUGGGACUUGGAAGCCACGUCGGAGCAAAUAUUUAAAGAUCCUGUUUUAUAAAGCCACUUUUUGGCCUAUAAACCAUCCGCCCUGCGGCUCCUGGUACUGUUGCUGCAGAGUCCUCUGUUUGCUGUUCCUUCUGCUCCUCCACACUACUGUCCGAGUGGGAUGGGAAGUGACUGCUAUUGACCCAAUGGGGUUCCUGGGAUCAGGCAGAUGCCAAAGCUGGCAGUGAGCCCGUCCUGGUGGAUGUCUUCCUGCUGCCCCUCACACAUCUCCAUGAGGACUAUGAGUUUGGGAUCCCACGUCCCCUUUCUCUCCACAAUACAUCAGGCUCCCAGCAAUGAUUCUGAGCUGUUUGCAUGGCAUGGAGCAGUCUCUGGUUUGUGCUUUCCUUCCUGCAUCGCCUUUCAGCCUUUGGUCCCACAGAGCCAAGCACUGAUGUGCCCACUAACAGGGGGCUCUGCUCCUGAACAAGCAAAAAGGUAAAUAGCCCCUCUGAUUGCAGCCUGGAUGCAGCAGGUUGGAUUCCUGCUCUCCUCCUCAAGGUAGUUACUUCUUGCAUCCACUGAGAGUAUGAUGAUGAUUGGGCACUGGGACUUUUUGGGGUAGACCCAAAGUAUUCUCUCUGUACUUUCAUUUCCCCUUUGUAUGAAUUCUUGCUCCACCUCUCUCUCCAAGGAGACCUGCAGUGCAGUGCAUCGCUGUCUCUGCAGCGCUUUGAGAUCUGCAGAUAUAAGUGGCUCCUGAAGCUUUGAAUAGCAUUGAACUCCCUCUGCAAUGGAAUUCCAAAGCCAGGGGAAAUUAUUCACAACUGUUAAGAAAAAGCAGUGUUGGUGCACUGGUUAAAUCCAGCGUUACGCCUUCUAAUUAUUUAGUGGUGGCCCAACCUGCUAGAGCAGCUGGUGGCAAUGGGAUGGUUGUGCUCAGCUGGAGGGAGCGGGGCUGAGAUUUGGUGCCUGAUGAGAUCAAUGGGCCUUUGAUUUCAAUAGGCAUUGAAUCAGGCACUGCCAUAUCAAACAGGCUGAUCAGAUCAUAGCGCAGCUCUUCUGGCAUGGAUUCCCAUUGUUGUGUCAGGGCACGCAGUGCAAAUUGAGCGACCAGUGGGGUGAGCAGGCACACUGAACUGUCCCUAAUGAAAUGGGACGUCCUGCACCAGGACGGUGCAAAGUGGUUGUGUGUCUGUGAUGCUGUGUGGGGCACUUCCAGGCUGGGAUGUGUCCUCUCCUGCCCUGUUCCUGUGCGGGAGGGUGACUGGAGGAGCUGCUGAGGGAGAGAAAUUGAUGGGGUGAUGUUGAAUCCUUAAUCUUGUGUUUCAGGGCUUCUCCAGGCGUUCUGCAAGGAAAGAUGAUUAUUUUUUUCUUUGCAGCCUUCAGUGUAGCAAUCAGGCACCUGAAAUUGUUUCUGCCGUCUUCUAAACGGGGAGAUUGGCCACAGCAAGAGGCGUGUUGUGAAGGGAGGGGUGUGCUGGUGCUCCUCGGAGAUGCUGCAGCCCCAGGAUGCUGUGUGGGGGAUUGCUGCCCCAGCUCUGUUGGCAGGAGCCCUGUUCUGCACUGUGGGCCAUGGUCACUUUCCCAGCAUCCCUGGGGGACAUUGCCCUGCUCCUGAAGGAACACGAGAUAUUUGCAGCAUCCUUGCUCUCUCCUGCUCUUUACCUGGGGCUCAUUAGCUCUGCAGUUUGUGGUCCUUUCGGUUCACUUGGGAGAGCACCCAUGGCGAGGCGCAGUGCAUGUCUGCGGGGAUUGCAGUCACACUGGAGAUGCUCUGCUGGCCUUGUCUACCAGCUGGAUUUGAAGCCAUAAGCUCCCAUUCUGAAGCCUGUUUUGCUUUGUUUCCCUGUGGUUGGGGAAAAUGGCAGCAUCUGUGCACGAUGUCUAAGCAAAGUGCACCCAGCCUGCCCCACCGCCGCGCUCUGUGGCUGCAGGAAUGUUAUCUCUGAUGUCUCCACCUGCCCCCAUAAACUUGGCUGGAAGUGGGUCAGUAGGUUUAGAAGUUCUACAGAGAUAUGUAUCAGCCUCAUACCUUAAAAGAAGUGAAGUCAAAUCCAAAGCAACAAUGAAAACUUGGAGAGGAAUGGAGAGAAGAGGCAGUGGAUUAGCAGAUAGAGAAAUCCCCGUGGGCCCUAUCGAGUGUUCUGCCAGUGUUAAGUGCUGAGUAAAAUAUAGUGCUGGAGAGAUCAGAUCGCUGGGUAUUCCCUCUGGACGGGGAGAUCCUGGGUUGAAUACUUCUUUGGUGAAUCAUCUACUGGAGCUAUCAGCACAGGGAUCUGGCACGGGAUUCUCGCAGCUGGAUGUGGCAUUGUUUGCAGGCUGAAACCACUUGGAGAAGGCAUGCAAAUGGUACCAUGCAGCUCUCUGCUGCUAAAGCUCUGGAUGCUUGAAUAUGACAUCUGGGACACCCCAAGCACUCAGAGCUGGGGCUGACAGCACGGAGGGCAACCAGAGGGUUUCUGCUUCUCUCUACAGCAGAACAAGGGGGAGAACAUGGGCAAUUUUGCCCAUAAAACCUGCUUCACCAAAGCAUCACCUGAGCUUGCAAAGCCCAUCACAGGGCUCUUCCAGGACUUGAGCUGCUAGAUCCUCCUCUGUGAGCAGAUCCAUUAGUAAUUGGCAGACUAAAAGAUACAGGAGAUCAAGACAAGGGGAAGAAAACCAAUUGCUAAGUGACCCAAAUGGAAGAUGCACAUGUGGCACAGGGAAGUGUUGGGCAAACAAGAGGAGAAAUCCUGCAAGAAAAGAUUCCAAAGGAGAAAGUCCAGUUAGGUUUUUGCUUGUUUUUUUUUUUCUUGUCAUCCUUUGAAGAGAUACUUACAAAGUGGGGAGCAGAUACUGAGGGAGUGCAAGGAGAGGUGGGACAGUGAAGGCUGUGUGUGUGACCCUCUCUGUGUUGUGCGAUAAGUUGUGCUCCAUGAAGUCUGGCCCAGGCAGAGGAAUGUGCUCCCUUUUUUGGAGCUGCUUGUCAGCUGUAGUUGGACCUGGGGACAGCUUGGCUGCGUCCUUCAUUUGGGAUCUAGGAGCAGCUGACAAUCUGCGUGGAUAGCACGAGAGCUGCUAAUGUUGCGUCUGAAAAGCUGCAGAGUUGCUGGGAGGGGGAAUGGGUUUAAAGUUGUAUUUCCUCCAAUAAAUCAGUGCAGCCUGGGCCUCCCCACCCCCAUAGGCGCCUGUGUGCAUGUGUUGGAGAGAGAAUCCAAAAAAACCCUGAGGACUCUGCAUUACUGCUCUCUGCUCAGGGCUGCCCAGCCUCACACCGGGGCAAGCGUUGCCUAAACACCAAUAACGUUGUCUACAGCAGGAAGCAGAGCAGGGCUCAUCCACACCAGGCUGCUCUGCUACUUCUGUGCUCCGAGUACAAACAGCAAGCUGUUCCUGCGCGUGGGCUCCCGGCGCUGCCAGCAAAGCUAUUCUCAUGCAGGAGAGAAAAACGAGCUGUGCAAAAAGCAGGCAUGUCUCGUAUUGCUAAGCAUCGCUCACCAGGUCAAGUGCUACACUGCCGCACGGGGCUGGUGUGGGUGGGAUGUGGUGGAUGUGGCAACCCCAGCGCUGCCUGUGGGGUUGGCAGGGAAUUACCCCAACUGCUAUAGCUAAAUCAUAGGAUCACAGAAUCAUUUCAGUGGGAAGGGACCCUUAAAGGCCAUCUGGUCCAAUUCCCUGCAGUGAACAGAGGCACCCACAGCUCCACCAGGUGCUCAGAGCCCUGUCCAGCUCUGACCUCGGGUGUCUGCAGAGACGGGGCACCCAUCACCUCUCUAGGCAAUUAAUCAGAGUGGCUCUGCUGGGAUGUUGCAGUGAUGGCAGCAGGAACAAAAUGGGUCUCAAUGAUGCGAUACAAGAAAGGACACAGGCCCUUAUGGCUACCAUGCUGAUAUUGGAAGCGAUGUCCCACUGCUGCUCCCAAGGCGUUUUCAGCCCUUCUGGCCCAGCAAUGACAGUGACUUGUAAAACUUAGGUUGCUUUUUGGGCUUCUUUGUUCUCUAACUCUUUUCUUGGGUGGUGUUUGAGGAAGGAACACCACCCAAGGUGGUGCUGAGGAUGCUGCAUGAGGAAGGGCAUUGUUUCAACCCUUGCAUUUUUCAGGGGGAAACUCUUAGCACUUUCAAAAGUAGCACUGAUGUCGAUCUGUUGGAAAAUUUCAGCUGCGGGUGGAGGCUGCUGUAUGUCAAGCAGAGCCUGGGCAGGGGAUGAUGGAGCAGCUCGGCACCAUAUCUCAAGGGCUCUGAUUUUUGGCACAGCCAAGCUGGUGGGAUGCUGAGCUGUGGGAGGGCUGGCCCAUCUCUGAGUGUUCCCUGGGUGCCGCUAUCUCCUGGCGAUCUGCGAUCCACUCAAGUGUGUCUGCCUGGAUGCCAGCCUGAACUGGGACCUGUUCCUGGUGGCUUGUGAGGUUUGUGCAUAUCCUGCAAUCUCUGGCUCUUUUUUGGAGCUGGGAGUGAUUGUGUUUGCUCCUCAGUUCAGCAAGUCAAAAGGAGCCUGCUGGGGGAGAGGGGAGAUUUUAAGCCCUAUCUCUGGAGUGAGAGAGAAGGGCUCGAUUCCCCGGUGCCUCAUUGGAGGGGAUCCCAACCAGCUCUGCCUUGCUGGGGCAGCUCCCUCCUCUCUUUUCCCUCCUGAUCAGAGGCUGUAGGGCCCUCAGUCCCCCCGUGCCCUGCCGGAUGUUGGGGAGCCAGACAGGACAGCCCAGCAGCUCCCAGCCCCAAACAAUGGGGCCAUUGAGGGCUGGAGCUGGGGGCUCGGCUGACUGUGGGCUGCGGAUGGGAAGGCCAGCUGAGCUGUGCUUGUUCCACUCCAGCAGAGUCAGAGCCCAAAAUAGGAGUGGUGCGGCCAUUUGGAGGCUGAGCCUCUUUAUCCAGAGGUCGCAGCUUGUUUGCGUGUGGGGUUUGCGUGGAGUAUUUAUGUCUUGGAGUGGGGCUGGGGGGAGGAAAUGAAAGAGGAGGGGCUGGCAGUUGUGCAGAGUUAUUUUUGUUGUUUUUUUUUGUUUUGUUUUGUUUUCUGUGCUAAAAUGGUGCAGAAGUAUUGGUAUUUUUAUCCCCCCACCUUCCUGUAGGUCCAUACACUUCCCUGCAGACUGGGAACCCCAGUGAGGCCAGCGCUGUGACUCAGUGCUGGAGUGCUGAGCAGGUGAAGGGGACAAGCAAUGCGCCCAAUAACUGGUGGAGCUGCUAAGCUGUCCCCACUGUACCCAUUUUCUAUUUCCCUGUGCCACCCUGGUUCCUAAUGUCAGGCUCCUCUGUGUCUGUGGGCUGUGCCCGCAGGUAGUGUUUCCCCUUUCUCCUGUGUUGAGUCCCCUCCGAUCCGCUUUCCUGGCACAGCAGUGGGUGCUGUCUGGCUCUUGCAGACACCAAGCAUCUGCUGUGCCCAGUGCAUCUGAAAAUCACACCUCUUUUGUAUCUGUGUGUGGAUUUAAGGGCUCAGUGUGAGGUGUCUGAAGAGGUGGUCUCGGUUGGAGCCUGUUCUGAAUGGUGCUGCCUGAAUGGGGCUGUGUCCGCGUCGGGAGAUGUGCAGAAUUAAUGCAAGGUUUGGAUCAGCUCAUUAACUGCCUGUGCCGGUCCAAAUCUUGCCCUUGGAGGUAUGUGUGUUGCUGCCAGUGCCAUCAACAUAAAGACUCUCGCCAGCACAGCCGGGGAUGGGAUUUGGCCUGUUUAUAUUCAUGGUGCAAAAAGAGCCGAAGGAUUAAUGACUGAUUACUUCUCGGGCCAGCAGGAGCCUCGGGUACCCAUCUCGCGUGCAGCUAAAGCGCAGGGCAGAGCAAGACAAAGCUUUGCAACAGAAUCCUCCCAAUUACCUCACCGCUCUCCCCGCGCGCUGUAAAAUGCACUGUCAGCUCCGCCAGCCAGCGCUCAGCCUGCAGCCAAACACCUCCUGCAUUGCUGCAUCUCCCUCCGCCCCGUGCUGUCCCCAAUUUGGGGGUGGUUUGGUGGAGCCCUGCCUGCUCCCUACCUGCCCCUUGUGUGCGUCUGAGCAUCCUUUCAUGCCCCCCCAGCGGAGCCUGCGCGUUGGAUGCAGUUUCCAUGGUUACUGCAGCUCCUGGGCUCUGGGAAGAGCAGUUGGAUGCUGGAGCUGGCAGGACCGGCAUCUCCCUCCGGAUCAGCCAGAAACUUGACAGGGAUCGGUGUGUGGCAGAGCAGGACAAAGAGAGGAGGGGAGAGGGAACGCGACGAGAAAAACUCGGCUUGUGCUGGUUACCAGGGUUGCCCCCAACAGGUUAUGCUCUGAACAGGUUUCAAAAAGGAAUAAAAAGGGUGGGGAGAAAAAAAAAAAAUAGAUGAGAAAACUGCAGUUCUGGCGCUCACAUGAAGGUGACAUUUGUUGUAGCAUCUCCAGCCGUCGAAACAGGGAUCUGAACACAAGGAAGUUGUAACUGCUGCCAGGCUGACUAUUUCUACCCACAUUUUUCUUUUCCCCAGCCCUUUUUUCCUCUUGUUUCAUUCUUUUGGUACUUUUUAUUCUGAUAUUUCCCUCCCUACACACACACAGGUUUCCUCUUUGCUCCUGCAUAUCCCUCUUUUGUUGGUUAGGUUAAAAGUUGGAGGCAUGUUCAGUCCUCACCACAUGCAGGUGCCAGCCGGGGCACCAAAAGUGCCAGCUGGGAAUGGAUGUGACUUUUUUGGGGAUAGUUUUUGCCCAACAGAGCCUUCUCCUGCUGAUGGACGCAAGCACCAUCUGAGCACAGCGUGUGUAGGUGCAAACCCAGCCUGGUGUAUUCAUCUGCAGUUGGGACUUGCCAUCCUCUCAUCUGCUCUGCCUCAAAUUCAGGCAGAUGAAAGCCCGACAAGAAAGGGCAGACACGGCUUCCCCUCAACAAGUCGAUGCAGGGAAAUGUCAUUGGGCUCCUUUUGGUGUCACUUUGCUGUUCCCAAGCAGUUUCCUGGAAAGACAGCAGGAAGUCAAACAUGUACUGCAUGGAACUGGGAAACAGCUGUGAGAUGGUGGCAGCAGAGCUGUGAUCUCACAUGGGGAUCUGCCUUCGUACUGCCCACCUGCCAAUAGAGCCCAGCCUUCUCAGGAAAGCAAAAUGGAGUAAAAACUCAUCUCAGAAAAGACUCUGCACAGUGGUUUACUCUGGUGGGACAUGGACAUGGGAUGGCAAGCUCAGAGAUUGAAAGGAGAUAUUUUUUCCUGUACACAAAGACUUACAAAGAAAAAUCCUGCCCUCCUGUAUAGGACAAAGCCUUCUGAAAUAACCUGAAUACCAGAAAUUUCCAGUAAUGCUCAACCUUUCUGAGCCCUGUUCUGCAACAAUGAUGAUGCCUUUGUGUGGGCUGAGGGGUCCCAAGGUCCAGCCCCUUGACUUGAUGUGGGAUUGAUGCAUUGCUCACUCUGCCUGUCUGCGUUGAGAAACUGCCCCUGUGGGGCAGACCUGCAUGUCCUGAGGUCCUGCAGUUCCCCAAAACAGCUCUCGUUUUCAUAUUGCCAACACAGCCAGGACCAUGAGUGUCCUGUCCAGUUUUCCCCACUGCUGUAGGGGAGGAGAGGACCAGCAGCCCAGUGCCGACUGGGAUGUGCAACAAGCCAAGUGUUUGUUUUGCUGCUCUGUGCGCAGCAGCGUGGCUAAAUGUGGAGGCUGGUUUGAAGGCACGCUCAUUUUACUCUCCAGCCAAUGUCUGAUUCCAGACAUGCCUGUUUCACAGAGUUUACUUGCACAUUUGCAGAGCAACAGUUUUGCAAGUGGAAUUCUGCAGGCAGCCUGGUGGGGCCAAUGCUGGCUGCUGCCAUUGGGUGAGAGAACGAGUGAGAGAACAUCAGAUGGAGUCAGGGAAUGUCUGAGACCAAUACUGGGAAGAAGUAGGAGGAGAGGGAGGUUUUAAAGUCUUGGUCAAGUUGCCGGGAGUUGUUUCCCGUGCUGGUUAUGAAUUUCUCUUGUAGCUUGGCUGUGUCUUGUUGCAAGGAACACAGCUCCCAUUGACUCCAGCAGGACCAGAGCUGGACCAGAGGUGCCUUUGUUGCAAGAGAAGCUGCAAGAAAAGAUUCAGCUUUAUCUCUUAAUGAGCCUAUUCAUUCUCUCACCUGUUAAUGGGUCAAAUUUUGAAGCUCUGACUCAGUCUGAACUUUCAGUGGCUUUUGCACCUGGUUAUUUAAAUAUCUGUCUGCACGGGAGGUGAACACCAAGCGGCAUCCCUAGCUGCAGCUCCUACCAAGUUACCUUCCCCUUUCCCCCCUCCAGCUGUUUACUGUUUCCCUCCCACCUCCACCCUGACUCAGAAGAAUGGGAGACAAAUGCUCCCACCUCACCCGCUCAGUACAAUGCUUGGCAGCCGCUGGGGAAAAAGAGUUUGGGUGAAGCUGCCAGGCUUUGCCCGGGAGCCAUGAAGGAGAGCACGAGAGCUGUUCCACCAACGCGGUCGCAGGCAGCAGGAGCCUCCGGCACGAGGGAGCAGACAAGCCAGCUGCUGGGGGUGCUGAUAACAUCUGGACCCACCCGACGCGAGCGCAUCUCCCCAUGCUGUAAGUGCAGGGUUGGAACCUUUGGGUGCUGAGCCGCCUCUGCUCCCACCGAGUUCAGCAGGAGGUCAGGGCACACAGCAGAGGGGUCGUGCAAGCCGUGGGUGCUGGGGCUGAGUCUGAGGCGGCGCUGGGACUGCUGCCUUCUGGGCUGGGUGAGUCCUUCUUUGGUGGAUCCUACCAAGUUUGCAGAUAGAACUGGUGUGAAGGCUGUUCCAGGGUGAGAGGGAGACCUCUGGAACCAGUUGCAGUGCUCUUCCUGGGGUAAGGGCCCAAAGCGGCCUUUAAAGAAGCAUAGCUGUAAAAGCACAGGAGUCCCAGGGGAGCUGGGUCCCCAUCUCCCUCUGCUGGGUGGUGGGGGCUGCAAUCAAAGCACUCCCAUGGCCCCUGCUGCAGCCACAGCACAGCGCCAGCUUGCUCUUCCCUCCUUCCCAUCUCUCCUUCUUCCACCCGUGGCCCCUCACAUCCUCCCUGCUUCAAUCCAGCUUUAAAAUCUCAAGGCAAAUCCCACUAAAUCAGGAGAUUUCGCCCGGCUGCUUCCCUGCCCUCUCUGCUCUCCCGCUCCCUCCGCCGCUUCUGGCCUGCUGGGUUUUGUGUUUCAGUUGUUAUAAAUAAAGCUCCAGGCACUGAUUUGGGUAUACAAUGACACCUUGUGUUAUUAGACAGCACAGGACAGACUUUGCAAGGGGAGCUGCUCUCCCGCCCUCGCUCUGCUCCGGCUGCCGGCGCUCCACGGGAGCUCAGCAGGUGCUUCUGUUCCCCGUCUUGCCCCAAAUCACAGCCCCCAGGAAAAAAAUAAAAGAGGAGAUCUGGGCCCCUGCUCUGGCUUGGCUGGGUUUAAAAACAGGUGGGUGGGAGGAAGCUGGAUGCUUAAAGAAGGGAGCGUGACUGAGGAUGAUGUGGGGAAGGGGAUAGGAAUGUAGGAAUGUGCCCUCAAAAAAGGAGCUGGGAAUGUGUGCAGGGGGGAAAGCAGGGAUGGAAUUAUCAUUUGUGCCCUCAGCCCUGCUUUGGGGUGACCACCCUGCCCCUCUGUCCUGUGCAUAGAACAGGUGGGGUCUGAGCAUCCUUUCUCCUCACACUCAUCCCUGCACUGCACCGUGGCCCCUUGGGAAGGGCUUUGUCCCACAUGUGCCACCUCCUGUCACCUCUCCAUCCCCUCAGGACCAGCACUGCUUGGAGAGGGGUAAGCUGACGUGCUGAGCCCCAUGUGCCCAUUUUUGGGUUCUCCCUCUGCGUUUUCUCUCCUUAUGCCAGAAAAGCAAAUGCUGUGAAUUUUUGCUUGAGCACUCAGUGCAGAUGUCCCACAGCUCCAAAAUGCACUCCCUCCGCCCGUCCCGCUUGUCCCAUUGCUGCUCCCACAGGACCCCACCCCCCUUGAGAGGCCCAAGGAAGCUGUAAUGCUGAGCUGUGGGGAUGGGAGCCUCCAGGAGCUCCUUCUGCAUUUUGCUGCUCGUCUUCACUCUGUGGGGAACCAGAACGGGUGCUGGGUGCCCAGGUUGGGGAGUCUUUGAGGCAGCGAUUUAAAGCAAGGAGAGGAAUUACUGUCCUAUUUCUUCAUGCCAGAAUGAGGAACUGGAAACAGGCUGAAGGGGAAAGGAGCUGGAUGGAUGUCCCAGAGAACUUAAAGGCUCAGAGGAAGACUGGCCAGGCUUAGGUUACUGUUCCUCUGCCCCUUCCCUGGUACCUCUGACACCAAUUAGGAGCUGGGCUUAUUAGCUGUUCUCCUGCACCAAUCUCCAAACACCACCGAGCAGCACCUGAGCCUGGUGCAGGAUGCAGAGUGUCUCAGGAUGCUGCAACCAAGAGAGAGGUGAGCCUGCACCUGGCGAUGGGGAGCCCAGCCGCAGCCAGAUGUGAGCUCCUUCCCCAUCCUCCCCCCUUCCUCUUGCCCUAGCCUCAGGCCAAACAGGGAAAAUCCUUCAGCAGAACCCCAGCUGGGGCUGCUUGCUGCCUUUCCAUAGCAACAGUCCAUCAGGGGGUCGGAGUCAGCAGUGAAAAAUGCUUUCUCGCCUUGCCUGCCGGUCGCUAUUUUGAUUGCAUUCCUGGGGAGCUGGGCUGCAGAUGUGGUCUCCUUAUCUUGGGAAGGUCUGAGUCAGUUUUUCCCUGUGUGAUGGAGCAGGCAGCUGAGGUCUGGAGGGAGGAAUAAAUAUCUUCAAAGGCAUGCUGGGGGUGUUGUUUGGUGGGGAAAAAGUGGUGGUACCAGUCUCCAUCCUAUACUCAUGGUGCCCACAUGGCACAGCACGCAUGGAGGAGAUGAAGGAGAUGUCCCUGCAAAGCAACGUUCAGACAGCCCUGGUGUCUUGGCCAAAGGAAAAGAAGACCAGGACUGCUGCUCCUUGGAUGACCUGAGGAACAUUCCCACAAGAGAGGCACCUUACAUUCACCCCACCAAUGCAUGUCCAGGCUGUGUGAUGCUCCUCAACGCACCAGCAGAUGUGGCAGCUCAAACGCUGGUUGUCUCCUGCUCAGCCUGUCUGUUCUUGAAGAAGUGGGAGCUGCAUGGAACAGCAGCGGUGAAUCUCUUCCUCAAGCCCAAGCAAAUAAGAAGCAAUUGUAAUGUUAGCUGCUGUCUCCAGAUCAAAAGUGCUAAAACAACACUUUGAGAACUGAGAAGGGCACGGUCUGAGCCUCCCCUCAACCCCACACCUCCCAGCACUGCCGUUAAAUUUGUGCUGAAAAAAGGACCAGCAAAUAUCAGGUUUGCCACGCGGAUGCACUGACAGGGUUGGGGCACUUGUGGCAGGGACAGCCCAGAGUGACAGCCCCAGAAGCGCCCAGCAAGGGCAGGAGUGCAAAACCCCACGGUAAAUGGAAGGAGAAGGCGUUGCUUUGCUGCUGAGAGAGAAUUUAGGUGGCAGGGAUGAAACAGAGAAGCGCUGUGCAGGGAGCGGUGCUGGGGCUGGAAGGCCGUGGGAGGGAGGUAACAGGAUGGCCCCGGGUACCGCUUCCUCGUGGCACCCCUCCAGCCGUCCCCGUCACCCCCUAGUCACAUCCUGCUUGCGCUGGCUCCUGCCUCAUCCUGCUGCCUGCAGUUUCUCAACCCCUUUCCCUCCUGCCAGCACUUUCUGGCUGCUGGGGUUGCUGCGGGGCAGCGGGGCUGGAGGCAGCUCUUGGAGCACCGGGAGAUUUAGGAUCGACGUGCUCCAUCCUCUCCUGUUUGACAGCAGAACUGCCAUUUAAGGGAGGGUUUGGAGGAGACAUCUUCCUCUUUCCAAAUCCUUCUUGCCGGCUUAGCCCCCAGCCCACAGACCCUGCAGCACGGAGCAUCCCGGCACCUACGGGGUCCUCGCCCUUCCCUGGUCUUCCCUGGGUCCUCGCUUUGUCCCCAGUGCCCUUUCCUCCUCUGCAGCCCCAUCUCCAGAGGGACCAUGCGCUGUGGGAAGGAUCACAUCCUGCUGCGGGACGCUCUGUGCCCUGGCAGGGUGCAGCUGGAGCUGGCACUGCUCUGCGCUAGGCUGAGCUGUCCUGGCCUCCAAGUGCUUCUGCAACAGCCAGGAGAUCUCAACGGGAGUUCUUAGUGGAGCAGGGAGAUGCUGCAGCACAGCAGCAAGCUGGAGCUAUGGGGAGGGAGGGACUCUGCCACGGACUUUCUGGGCUAACCUUGGUCAAGACAGCUUUCUCCCCGCAUGUUUGUUUUUUUUUUACCCAAACACAACGCUGCCUUUGCUAGCUGUGCUGGUGCAGAGGCUGAUUCCCAGCACCCCGGAGGAGGGCUGCUGGCUGCUGCCACAGCACUGCACUGCAGCAGCUCUGAACUCAGUGCACCGUGCUCGGGGUCUCAGCCCCAUUGCGGAGCUGCGGCCGCAGAGCUGGGACCGCUGGGACCCCCAUCCACAUCCUGCAGGUCCCCGCUUUGCUCCAUCACCCAGCGCUGAGGCCUGGGGCGACCGGCGUCGCUUUGGGGUUUUGGCACACGGGGAAUGCAAGUGGGUGGGGGAGGCACUUCCACGAUCCCCACCGUUAGGGAGCACAGCGCCCGGGGUGCUGCGUUUUGCCCCCAACAGAAGGCAGGGAACAUACGGAGGAGAUGGUUGCACCCGCCCGGGGCUCAGGGAUGGGGCUGCUGGGUGCUGGCGUGGUGCAUCCCUCCUUCCCCAUCCCUCUUCCCCACGCGCAGGGCAACGUGGCCACGCACGGAGCCAACCAGCAGCGAUGCGAGGAGGGUCGCAGCUCAGCGGGGCGGCUCUGGGCUCCCCGCUCUUCCCUCCAGACCACGCAACGGUUAAAUUCCUUUCCAGCUGAGCUGGCAAGCAGAGCCCGAGCAUAUUAGUCAGAUCCCUGUAGGGGGUGGGGAGGAGGAAGGAGCGAGCAGCGAGGAGGGGCCGCAGCCCAGCGCCGGGCUGAGCUAUUCUCCGGGGCGAGAGCGGGGAGGCAGCGCAGCAGGAGUUGCCGCUUCCCAGAAACUUGAUUAUUUUUAACCCAGGAAGAAAAAAAUAAAAUAAAAUAAAAAGGAAGGAAGGAAAGCGGGCAGAAUUUAAAAAAAAAAAAAAAGAGUGGGGGUAAAUCUAAAGGAAUUGGAAAACAUGAGGUUGGCGUCAGCACACAGCUUUGCAGAGGGGAGAGAAGGGGCACAGAGGUUCAGGCUGCCCUGGGAUGGGGAUGGAGUACGGAGCCCCACUGGAGCUGCCCCUGCUGAGCCCAGCAGAGCUGCCCUGUGAAGGAGAAAGCAAGGUCUUCUUUCUCACACUGCUUAACCACGUGUAGAUGGGAGCCUGGGCAAAGUGCAGAGACAUCUCGGUGUUGUUCCCACUGCAUGACACGGUUGUGUUGGGUCUGAGGUGCAGAGCCUUGGAGCAGUUGUUCCAAAGCCCCGCAGCUGGAAGAGCACUGGGGAUCUGCUGCCCCAGUCAGGAGCUGCACUGCGGGCACAGGCACUGCAGUGUGGAUGGGACACGGUGCACAAAGUGCCCUGUGAAGGUCAAACCUUUUCUGACCCAAACCCUCCCCAUGUAUUUGUAUGACUGCAGCGCCUGCACUUGGUUGGAAACUCAAUGUCUUCAAUGGCUGUAGCACCAGUCCAAAGCAUUACAAACCAUGGGCCCUUCCAAGAAAUAUCUGCAGUCCCCCACUGUGCUGCCCAGGGUGGUACUGGGACUCCUGAGCUGCUGUUCUCAGUUCUAAACUGAGCUCCAUGGGGAACACCACGUGAGGAAAUGUCCUGUAUCCACAGACACAGUGUGGAAACAGGGCCUCCCUGAGGAGGUUCUUCCAUGUUGGACCUCUGUGGGACUUCUGCUGUCACCAGCUCUGCUCUGCUGUGCCCAGAUCCUGGAUGGGGCUGGUGGUGUCCACAUGAUGGCAUCAGAACCAUCAUCGCAAUGGAGAAGAAGCCCUUAGUUUUGCAGACACAGCCAGGCCAGGUCAGAAAGAGGAUCCCGUUCCCCAAAGGCAAAGAAGUGACAAUGGCAAUCAGUUCAGCUGAACAGAGAGAGUUUGGAACAGGCAG